CAAUGAGUCCCUACCUCGGCUUCUGGGCAAGAUAUUCUUUAAUUUUAGGUAAGCUCUAAUUUGUAAAGCAUUAUUGCAGCUUUUAGAAACUCUGAAUCUCAGAUUUAUUGAGAUAUCGAAAUCCCAGUUUGAGAUUCAUCGAGAUAAGGAGAUCUUAUUCGACCAUGUAAUUUAAAUCUUAUUCCAAUGAGUAUUGUUGAUUGUCGUUUUUAACAAUAUUACUCAACUUAUGGUCACUUCCCUAUGUUUAGUUCAGCGCCAUUCUUUUCUCUUAUUCAUUUUGGUAAAAAGAAAUCUCUCACUAUCAAAUGUAUUAUGUAAUCCUUUUUUGCUCAGCAGCAGUAAAUUUCAUAGAGGUGAUGUAAUAUAUAAUGUCAUUAUUGCUGUAGAAGUUGCAGAAGUGUAUGCUGACUCUACUCGAAUGAUUAUUAUCCCUACAUGCAUAACAUAUUAUAAAGAUAUCUUCCUAUGUGCCCCUUUUGUAAGGAUGCAUGCUGACGGGUGCACAUCGUUUCUAGCUUCUUUUGGUGCAUCUUUUAUCCUGCUUCAGCUGGUUAGCCUGAAUCCUCUUUUCUCCUGUUUCAGUUGAUUAGCAACCAGUAUUGUUCAGGAAUUUUGAGUGGCACACAUCCUGGUCUGGCGAGCCGAUGACCGGACAUCAUUUGUCAAGGUUUGUGCACAUUGAAAACUCUUGCUGCGGAUAGAAAUGAUGUUCAUCGCAAACUGAUGUAGCUUCUUAAUAUGCAUACUAUAUUAGAUUGAUCCUUUUGAAUUAAGUUGAUGUAAAAUUAUUUCUUCAACCCAUGCUCUCUCAGCCUCUUUUCUCUUUUUUCAUUGUAACUUAUAUUAAGAACAGUAAAACUGAGCCUAAACCGAGCCCUCUCAGACAAUCAGCGAUUUUGGCCAUCAGAUGCUGCGUCUCGAUUCUUUCUGAUCGUUGGAUGCACGGUUAACUCCGAGUGGGCCUCAACUUACCUGACUGUCCAAUAAACUGCUACUCCAGGAGAAAAAUCCGAGGUCCGUGGUUGAUUGGGCCAAAGCCCAUGUAACUCUUCUUUGCGAUAGCUUUUUCUAUAGCAGGCUCACAGAGACAUCGCCACCGAGACCCUAACCACGCUCAUGCGGCGGCUAUGGCGGCGAUAAGCUUCUCGGCAGCGCCGCUGCAUCGACCUUCCCUCCUCCACUUCCAAGCAAAAGGAAAUCGGCCGCCGUCGCCGCUAUGCCUGCCUCCGCUGCCCCCCCUAUACCAGCCAGGGCCCAGGGCGAGAUCUUUCUCCUCUUUGCCGCCGCCAUUCUCCUCCUCCGGCGAGAACCCCUCUGCCUCGGGCUCCUCCGAGUCCAUGGUGGGCGACCGCUCCUCCUUGUCCGCCGGGUAGCCCUCCUCCCCGUCGGAUUCCAGCCGCUGGACCCUGGCGCCGCCAGUCCUCACGACUGCUCCCGAGCUCCUGCUGUGCACGAACUCCAUCGUCCAUACAGUAUCCACCAUACCGAUGUCCCUCCGCACACCCUCCUUACUUCGGCAGAUUGCUACUUCAUCCUCUCUGUUUUCUCUUCCCCUAAUUCGAUCCCCAUCAAGUUUAUAAUUUUUUGUUGACGUUGUUUUGUUUACUCCCAGCUGAAUGCAUUUGCUCUGAAUUGAUGGGUUCAAUCUGUGUUCUGCUGGGUGUUGGGUUUCUCUUGCCGCUCCAAUCUGCCAUUUUAGUAUCCAAGUCAUAUUACUACUCCCUCUGUUCCAAAAUAGAUGAGCCAACUUUAUACUUACUUUGUAUCUCAGACAAUCAGCGAUUUUGGCCAUCAGAUGCUGCGUCUCGAUUGUUUCUGAUUGUUGGAUGCACGGUUAACUCCGAGUGGGCCUCAACUUACCUGACUGUCCGAUAAACUGCUACUCCAGAAGAAAAAUCUGAGGUCCGUGGUUGAUUGGGCCAAAGCCCAUGUAACUCUUCUUUGCGAUAGCUUUUUCUCUAGCAGGCUCACAGAGACAUCGCCACCGAGACCCUGACCAUGCUCAUGCGGCGGCUAUGGUGGCGAUAAGCUUCUCGGCAGCGCCGCUGCAUCGACCUUCCCUCCUCUACUUCCAAGCAAAAGGAAAUCGGCCGCCGUCGCCGCUACGCCUGCCUCCGCUGCCCCCCCCUAUACCAGCCAGGGCCCAGGGCGAGAUCUUUCUCCUCUUGGCCGCCGCCAUUCUCCUCCUCCGGCGAGAACCCCUCCGCCUCAGGAUCCUCUGAGUCCAUGGCGGGCGACCGCUCCUCCUCGUCCGUCGGGUAGCCCUCCUCCCCGUCGGAUUCCAGCCGCUGGACCCUGGCGCCGCCAGUCCUCACGACUGCUCCCGAGCUCCCGCUGUGUACGAACUCCAUCGUCCAUACAGUAUCCACCAUACCGAUGUCCCUCCGCACACCCUCCUUACUUCGGCAGAUUGCUACUUCAUCCUCUCUGUUUCCUCUUCCCCUAAUUCGAUCCCCAUCAAGUUUAUAAUUUUUUUUGUUGACGUUGUUUUGUUUACUCCCAGCUGAAUGCAUUUGCUCUGAAUUGAUGGGUUUGAUCUGUGUUCUGCUGGGUGUUGGGUUUCUCUUGCCGCUCCAAUCUGCCAGUUUAGUAUCCAAGUCAUAUUACUACUCCCUCCAUUCCAAAAUAGAUGACCCAACUUUAUACUUACUUUGUAUCAUCUUUAAUUGACAUAAAAAACACUACCGGGUGUUGUUGUUGCUGUAUGCAGAAGGUUUAUUCAAUAAAUAAAUAAGAAAAUGAAAUAGUAAUAUUGUAGAAUGGACCCAUAUGUACUUAGCGAAUUAAACUUCGCAUCGAUGAAAACGAUAAUAGCCCAACUAUACAUAUAUGAUAAUGAUCAUAAAUCAAGAAUAAAAUAAAAAGGAUUGUGUAAACAAGAUGAAGAUAUUAAUUGUAUUUGAUCAGCCUAAUGUUAAAAAAAGUAAUGCAUAUGUGAACCCACUUGUGAAACAAUUCAGGCUUGCUAGAGGUAAAAUCAGGGACCGUCCUGACUAAUGUGUUGCAGUUAGGGUGUUGGCUCCAUAGCUUGACAGCACCGCUACCUCUUAUCAUUUUUCUUUCCAAUAAAAUCGCUUAACAAUAUUAUAUUCUAUGUCCAUAGGAUGUAGCAUUGCAGUAUGUGUUUCAUUUGGUCGUUCAGCUUUGCCAACUUUUGGUGAUUUAUAGCUCCUUUUUUUUGUGCAAGCCUAUUGCUAUCCCUGUAGGUUGUGUGUUUUUCUUUAAAAAAACUAUCUUUAACUAUACCUUGCAGUAUCCUUGAAAUGUUCCUUUGUUGUUUAUAUGCUCAUGUUUUUAUUUAAUACAACCAUGGCGCAAGAAUGGAGAGCCAGAGGAGUUCCCAGUUUGAUGUUAAGUACUAUGAAAGCAAGAUGACCCAGUUGUUGUGAGUCACUUCUCUACCAAUUUUGUUAUAUAAGGUUAUUCUUUCUUAUUCUAUGAUACCAUCUUUUGUAUAUUGAUUGCAAUAUGUAGGACCAAACUGAUACUGAGGAGUUUGUCACUUCAUAUGCUUGAAAUGCAUGAGUAUUGCUGACAUGAAAUUCCAAGAGAACCUUGAAAUGCAUGAGUACAUUAUUUCAAAAUUGUAUCCAUAUGGUCAUCAAUAAUAGUUUUGCCAGUUUGCAUUGUUUGAUACAUAAGAAAUUCAAAGUCGAACCCAAUGAAAUAUUGCUAACUUUCAGUCAAAUCUAUGAAUGUUGAUAAGCUAUGUGAUUUAUUUAUGCUUGGUGACUCAUAGUGAGAUAUACUUCUUCUGACUUUUGAGUUUACCUUCACAUUUAUCAUGCUAAUAGGAAAAUGCUACUGAAAGUGGAAUAAGGCACUCACGUUAAUAUCUUUGUUUCCCCAUUUCCUUGAAUUACUAAGUUUCUCCAAUAUCAUCUUUAGACAACCAUUUCCUUGAUCAUACAUUAUUAAGAGUCCCCAAGUUGCUAUUUCAAAUAUUGUUUCUAUUUUUGGAGCAUUUGAUUCAAGAGUAUUGCUCGCUUGGACAUCGACAAGAGAUUUAGUACAGAUACAACAUGAUGACACUGAGAAUGCCAUCAGGGCAUACCAUUUUAUAACCAAAGAUAUGCUUACUCAUGUUUCACCAAUUCAUUUAAAUGUUGGACAUUUUUUCUUAUUGUUGUUUCAUUCUUCAUGACGCGGUUAAACAAUUGUUCCCUUAUCUGCAUGAACGAUGCUAACAUUCAGGAAAUAUAUGAUACUAAGAAAUGCGAUGUCAUGAUCAACUAUGUAUAAAUUUCUGUUAACAACAUUCAUGAUGGUUGGAGCUAUAUUUUGAGGAAUACACAGCUAAUCUAAUGGGAUUAAUCUUAUGUAACGUGUUUUCAAUUGUGAGAUUGUGCAUUGUACUCAUUGAUGUUGCCAACAAAGUAAUGUCGUAACUGUUGGGCUGCAUGGUGACCCUCCUAAAUCUGGAACAUAUUGGCACCCCAUCAUGCCACCAUAUAUUUGCAUAAAUACAUAUUAUUACCUUGGGGGAAUAGACAGGCUCUGCAACACACGCCAUCAUGGUACAACUUUCGAAAUUUUGCAUCAUAAGGCUACCCAUAAAAUUAAUUGCCAUGUUAUCUUAAUUUAACAAGUAGAGUAUUUGGCUUCAUAUAUUUGUAUCUACCCUAACAUUAUAAUGCCAAAUGGAUGGGCGCAGCAACGCGCGCCAUCAAUGAUCUAGUAUACAUAGGGAGCUGACCUUCAUGCACCACUCAGGCGCCACAUCUGGCCACUAACUUCACGUCUAGGCACUAGCUCACUCCCACUCACACAACUAACUCCAUGCACUUAGUAAUCCCUACAUGCAUGCAUGUCCACUUGCGCAGCUCCACUCAACGGCCACACACCUGGUCAGCAGCCAUGUAGAUAACAAACUAACUAACUUGCCUAUUCUCUUCUAGCUAUUCCAGUCAUCAAGCGCCUUGCCGCUUCACACGGCGUGUUGCAUCACACAACACCGCGGCUUCACGCCGCCAUCGGCAUCUCACCAUGCUCGCCGCAUCGCACGGCAGCCCGGUAUCUCGCCUCCUCCGUGCACUCGAUUUAAGCUUCGACGACUAGAUACUCCUUUACCAUCUAUGUUACAUGCCUAACGAAAGCAAACUGUGUAUGCGGAUACAAAAUAUAAAGAUUAGUGCGAACAAUCUCAAUCGAGGAUCAACGUUAGUGUUAACACAUGAUUAUUGAAUUCUCUGUAUUUAUUACUAUUUAUAUUUUUGAGAAUGCGAUGAUCCUGUAUGUUGGCAUUUUGGCAUUGUAGUAUAGUUUCUAAUAGUGUAUUAUAAUUGAGAAUUGAUUAACUUUUGUAGGAAGCAAAAAGGACUACACUCACAAGGAACCAUGAAGCCAACGAUCCACGUCAACUAGAUGUUUUAGAUUUCAUUUUGUACAACUGAUGUCUCAUACUUGCAUCUUUUGGCUGUCCUUUUGUAAACCUGAUGUAUGGUUUCUUGGUGGUUUUGUUUAGAACAGGUUGAAGUGUAUGUAUGUGCCAAUUAGUUAAUGGAAUAAAAAAUGUUUGGUGCUCCCGAUUUGAGCUUGACGUAUGGUGUUUGGGUGAUUAUGCUUAGAACACAUGAACUAUAUGUAUGUGACAAUCAGUACCAUAUGUUAAUUAAAGUUGUGGUUGGCUAAACAAAAUGUUGAUGAACUGUUG
RNAcentral lists this long non-coding RNA (5656 nucleotides) under Triticum aestivum (bread wheat). RNAcentral's name for it is "long non-coding RNA (TAES_LNC017831)". Lineage: Eukaryota; Viridiplantae; Streptophyta; Magnoliopsida; Poales; Poaceae. The record is from RNAcentral.